AAGGAGUCUAACAUAUGUGCGAGUAUUUGGGUGGCAAACCCUUUUGCGCAAUGAAAGUGAAAAGGUGGGACUCUUGUAGAUGCACCAUCGACCGCUCUCUUCAAUAGAAGAGAGUGCGUAUGAGCACAUAUGCUGGGACCCGAAAGAUGGUGAACUAUGCCUGAAUAGGGUGAAGCCAGAUGAAACUCUUGUGGAGUCUCGUAGAUGUUCUGACGUGCAAAUCGGUCUUCAAGUUUGGGUAUAGGGGCGUAAGACUAAUGGAACCAUCUAGUAGCUGGUUCCCUC
RNAcentral lists this unclassified non-coding RNA (285 nucleotides) under uncultured fungus. RNAcentral's name for it is "partial contains 5.8S rRNA, ITS2 and 28S rRNA". It matches the Rfam family "Eukaryotic large subunit ribosomal RNA", at positions 668 to 961 of the family's 3401-position model. Lineage: Eukaryota; Fungi. The record is from RNAcentral.